AGAACAUCCAACAAUCUAUUUGUCCCUUGUCUUCACAUAACAUUCUUUGCCUUGGCUGGAGCUCUCUUGAUAUAUCUUUGCCUUGACUGGAGCUCCCUUAAUAUAUUUAAGGAUGCAAAUUACUACAUUCCAAUGACUGUCACAAGGAGCUUAGAGGAACUGGCUAACCAACACUAAUAGCAAAGGAGAUGAUGAGUCCUGUGAUUGUGAGAUAAUUGAACUUGCCACCUCUGGAUUAGUGUUGAUUGUGCCAAUCCCUUUAUGGUCUUAAGCAAUCUCUUAGGGUAUAGUUUGAGAAAGAGGAUACUAUUCAAGUAUUUUUCUUUUCGAUACAGAGAAGGGAAAAAAUAGAAAUUAGGGCAGAAAAUUUUCAAUUUUCAAUUUUCGAAGGAGGGACUUAAUACCCAGGUUCUAAUACCAUGAAGAAAAAGAAGAAAAGAAGAAGUUUUAGAGAAUAUUUUUGCUUGAUUGUUCCCUUGAGCUUUGGGGAUUAAAUAGAGUUUAAAUACCCUAAAUUGGAAAACAUACAUAAUUACAGGUAUAAAAUCUUCGUAAUUAGUGUGAAUAAUGUCUUCCUAAUCUAUGGCAUAAUUACAGGUAUUCCAAAAAUAUUUAUGGAUUCUUAACAAAGGUGAUUAUAACUUGUGUUCUUUGCUUUAAGAGGCUUUGGGAAAGGGAUUUUGAUGAACUGUAAUUUUCAAGAUAGAGGGAGUCUAGUUGUGAUUAAGCCUCUGUUAUGGAUGCAUUUGCAGGCAAGACUUAUUCAAGAUGUCAUUUACAAGAGAUUCUAAUCAAUGGUGAUAAGAAUGACAACAAA
RNAcentral lists this unclassified non-coding RNA (817 nucleotides) under Hevea brasiliensis (rubber tree). Lineage: Eukaryota; Viridiplantae; Streptophyta; Magnoliopsida; Malpighiales; Euphorbiaceae. The record is from RNAcentral.